AGAAACUUAGGAUUAAAUAAACCAAGAGCCUUCAAAGCUCAAAAUAUGGAUGAAAACCCCAUAGUCUCUG
RNAcentral lists this transfer RNA (70 nucleotides) under Anolis smallwoodi. RNAcentral describes it as "tRNA-Trp". It matches the Rfam family "tRNA". Rfam says of the family: Transfer RNA (tRNA) molecules are approximately 80 nucleotides in length. Lineage: Eukaryota; Metazoa; Chordata; Lepidosauria; Squamata; Anolidae. The record is from RNAcentral.